GAAAAACGACUCCUGGGGAGAGUUAGAUGGGAUUUGGGGCAGGAAUCGUUCCCUGGAGGGUGGGGAUGGAGUUGCCACAGCAGCUGUGGCUGCCCCUGGGUCCCUGGCAGUGCCCAAGGCCAGGCUGGGCACUGGGACAGUGGAAGUGUCCCUGCCAGGGCGGGGGUGGCACUGGGUGGGAUUUAAGGUCCCUUCCCACCCAAACCAUUCAGGGAUUCUGAGAAGUCUUUGUGCACCAGGUACAUGCACAUCAAGGGAUGGGCAAUAAAUCCCACCACACCUGUAAAGAGCCAUGGGAUGUACAGGACACACGGGGUUUAUUCACUCACUCAUUAAACAUCUACCCCAGAGCAGCCCUGCAGUACAUCCUUCCUCCAGACUGACACACAAGAUUAGCUCAGAUUGCCUCUGUCUAUUGUUUUUAAGCAAAAAAAAAAAAACAACAAGAUUAGCUCAGAUUGCCUCUGUCUAUUGAUUUUAAGCAAAAAAAAAAAAACAACAAAGAAAAACAAAAAACCAACAACAAAACAAACCUUUUAUUUCAUAUCAUUGCAGUAAAAUAAUUGGAUUAAUUAGUUAAACCUUUCCAGCUGCAGAGAGGAGGAGACGUGUGACUUUUGAUUGCAUGCUCUCAGGACAGUCUGAGCUCUGAGCAGAGGCUCCUCAGAGAUUGUUCUUUUGAUCUGGGUGCAGAGCUCUGUGCUCACGUCACCCGGAGCAAGUCUCCGUAGCAAGGAGCUGUGCUGGCUCAGAUCCCCUCUGCAGGCUGCACAGCAAGGCAGAUGAUCUAAAUUGGAGGGAAUGGGUAGGGAUGUGGGCUGCAGGAAGAUUGCAGGUGCCCCCUGGACCUGCAGGAUUAAUGAGCCCUGCCUGGGAGAGCUGCCCAGAGCCCAGGCAGUGACAGGCACAGGACUCGGCCUUGGGAGCCCCUGCUGGGUGGGCCAUGGCCAGCAGGAGGGUGAAAAACGGCAGUUUGUAGGAUGGGGGAGCCUUGGCCUGAGAGCUGAGACUUUUCCUUCUCCUCUCCCCACCCUGCACAGGAUCCUUGCUGAAGUUGGUAAAUCAGGCAGCCAUACCUUCUUCCCCAGCCCAGGCAGAUUUUGGCAUCCCCUUGCAGCAGGGGAGGGUGAGGGGUGUCCUGCCCCAGCAGUGGAUGCUUCUCCUUGUGCAGAAUCCAGGAGAAUUGACAUUGAACAUCGUGCCUGGCAUUAAAGGGACACUAACUGUGCUCCUGGAGGUCUCACCUGGGAACAGAAAGUUUAAAUUGGCUGGUAAGUAGUGAUUCAUUCUCAAAAAAAAAAAAACAAACCAUACUUUUCUUAAUUCAACCCUUGGAAUUUUUGGUUAAUAUCUGACUCUCUGGUCUGAUCCAUCUCCAAUUCAUCCUUUCUUGUCAAGCUAGUUUUAAUAAUUGUAACACCCUCAGCUGUUUUGUUUAGGUAAUAGAGAACAAUUCAGCCUGAAGAAAAUUAAUUUUCCUGUUUCACGUGGUUUUGGGUUCUUUUUCUUUUUCUUUUUUUUUUUUUUUUUGGGGGGGGGGGGGGGGGGGGGGUUUUUUUUCUUUUUCUUUUUUUUUUUUUUUUUUCUUGUAGUUUUCUAAUGAAUUCUAGAAAAUAGCAGUGAAAAUAGGGAAGUCUGAAGUAAACAUUGAUUUUUACAGUGCAAUAAUUUAUGGUACCAACUUAAUAAGCGGUGUGACAGCAGCAGCUCACCCCCCAUUUAUCAUGCAUUGAUAGUUUGAUUCCAGAACUUUUAACACCACUGCUCGCUGUGACAUAAUAAAGGACCUGCCAACAUUCCCAUUAGAACCACGAGAUUUUAGGAGUUCUGCUUCAGCUAUAAAUAUCAGGAUUUGGAAUCUAUGAAUUAUUUUGCAGAGUAACAACCUCGGAAUGACUUGUCCCAGCAACUGGGAAGAAAUAAGAGUUUUUUGAACUUCAGGGGGACAUCUCCCUGUGUUCAGAAGAAGAGGCUCGGGGUUGCUCAGGCUGUGUCCACCAUCACAAGUUUCCCAGCUCAGAGCUCAGAUAGUUCAGAAGAAGAGGCUCGGGGAUGCUCAGGCUGUGUCCACCAUCACAAGUUUCCCAGCUCAGAGCUCAGAUAAAUCACUUUAAUUCCACAGGCAGCAAGGAGGAGGCAGCAGUGUCCAUCAGCAGGUUCUGAUGAGAGCUGGCUGGAGGGGAGCUGGCUCCACCCGUGCUCCCUUCCAUCCCAUCUGGAAAAUCCAGACGUUCCUCUCACCUUCCAGGUUUGUUGGUUCAGGAGCUUCUAAAAAAAAUAGAUGCAAAGACAACAGAACUCGUGGGUAGUGGGAUAACAAUGGAAAAUAAGUGAACUGGUGAGCUCAAUUCUAUUUAUACCCCCAUGUCUAAAGAGCUGUAAGAAAAAGGGUGUGUGGUUAUGUUUGUCCUAGCUUAGGUUGCAGGGAUUUAAUGUACAUUCUAUAAGUCAUUAAAUAAUUUUGUUGGGGCAUCUGAUCUCCAUGUUGAUACUUUAUUACCAGAGAUCACUUGGAGACAGGAAAGGGACUUAUGGAAUUGGAAAACAAUUUACAGUUUGUUGGGUUUUUUUUUCAGUAACUAGCUCAUUUUAAACCCCAUUUUUAGCAAGAAAUAAUGACUUGCUUUAUUUAGAGACUAUUUAAAAUGCUCUCGAGGUAUCUACUGAAUAUCUUGACAUCACAGAUAAAUCAGGAGCAGACUCAAAAUUAGCCCUGCACUGCUCUAUAUUACAAUGUGUUCUAUAUUACAGUUCCAUUAUCCAGCCCUUGCACAAUGCACCUCAGAGAUGGGAGAAGAGACAGAGUCUGCCCUCAAAGCAGUGUGGAACACACCAGGUGCUCCCCCCUGACACCCUGCCAGGUUUGCCUCAGGCACACAGGUGGAUAUUUGUCUGUGGGGAGGGUCUCAGCAGCCUGGGCGUGCUGGCCUUUGUGCUUUGGUGUUGCCAGUGCAUUAUUUAUAUAUCCAAAAGGAGCCAGAAGAGAGGUGGGUGCUCAGCUGAAGUUUAAGGUAACUAAACUGACCUAAUUCCUGUCAAAAAUAAUCAGGAUUAAACCUGCACUGUUCCAAGAUGGAAAACUGGGCCCCAGGGUCUGGCUGGGGCUGCUCUGGGUGAUGCUCCUGUCAGGAUUUGCUUUGUGGCGCCAGAACCAUUGAGCUGCUUCUUUAGUUAAUUUAAAUGUGCAUCAUUAGCAGUUAACUUCGUGCCUUCCCAGGCUUGGCAGGUCCUUACUGGGCUGAACAGGAGCUUUCCAUCCAAACCAGCUUCAGCUGUGCUGCUCCCUGCUCCUGCCCAGACCCCUCAUCUCCUCCAGGCUCUGGGAUCCCUCAGCCCUAAGGACUCCAGAGCCUUUGGCACGGCAGGAACUUUCCAGGGUGUGCAAUUCCUGAUGGGGCAGGAGCUCUGCAGGGUUAAUUCCUGACUAAAGCAGGAGUUCUGCAGGGUUAAUUCCUGAUGGGGCAGGAGCUCUGCAGGGUUAGUAAUUCCUGGUGGAGAAGGAGUUCUGCAGGGUUAGUAAUUCCUGAUGGGGCAGUUCUGCAGGGAUAAUAAUUCCUGAUGGGGCAGUUCUGCAGGGGUAAUAAUUCCUGAUGGGGCAGUUCUGCAGGGUUAAUAAUUCCUGAUGGGGCAGUUCUGCAGGGUAAAUUCCUGAUGGGGCAGUUCUGCAGGGGUAGUUCCCGAUGGGGCAGGAGCUCUGCAGUGUUUGCUGCUGGGGAACAUCUCAGGGUGAUGGUGGGCACAGAGGGAAAGCAGGGCUGUCCCCAGGCUCUCCUGCCAGCAUUAACCCCAGCAGCACAGAGCAUUUCCUCUCCUUUGGCCUCGGACCUUGUUGUUCGGGAGAAAAUGAAACAAUAAAGGAGCGUUUGGAGUGAUUUCGUUAGAAAUCCAUCAGGCUGUCAGACAGUCCAGUGGCAUCAAUAAUUCCCUAUUAAGCCCUCUACACCCAUUAUGGUUUGUGCUUUUCCUUUUUUUUUUUUUUUUUUUUUAAGGGGGGGGGGGGGGGGUUUUCCUUUUUUUUUUUUUUUUUUUCCAAAGUUAGUUUCCAGGCAACCAGUAAGAACUGAAUUGCAUUAAGCUAUUAAUUCAGCCUUGCAUGCCAGCUCCAGCUUCUGCAGCCCAGCUCUUCCUCUCCUCUACAAGUGUCCUCCUAAAACCCCUU
This is a long non-coding RNA of Ficedula albicollis (Collared flycatcher), 4159 nucleotides long. The record is from Ensembl. Lineage: Eukaryota; Metazoa; Chordata; Aves; Passeriformes; Muscicapidae.